Long non-coding RNA from Candoia aspera, 453 nucleotides. RefSeq lists it as uncharacterized. Lineage: Eukaryota; Metazoa; Chordata; Lepidosauria; Squamata; Candoiidae. The record is from RefSeq and is a predicted model, not a curated record. The transcript has 3 exons.
GUGACUCACUUUUUAUUGCAAAUGCCAGGAGCAGGCUUAUUUAUUAACCUAGCUAGCUGAGUACAGGGAUAAAAGGGAAAAGGAACUUUGGAAACGGUAGCUUGCAUGCCACAGCAAAAUGUAAAGAAAAAUUAAACCAGCAAUGGGGGCUAACAUGAUGGCCUGUUGGCAGCUUCCUCCAGCGGGAGACUCACUGCCUACAUUUCCAAUUGGACAAACUUCAUUUAACGUAUUGGAAGAGUUAUGGAGCUCAAGCACAGAAGCAGAACAGUUCUCCUUUCUUCCUGGAACACUCUAGCAUCAGCUGCAGAAUACUGCCAAGACACAUACAUACAACAGCACAAGAUCCAUAAACAAUACAAAGAGGAGAAAAUCAGAAUGUGUGCGCCCAGUUUUAAAGGCUAUUCGUUUUGUGAAUGCCAACUAACAGUGUCAUAGUCAAAGCGACCUGCU